AUUGACCGCUGGCGGCAGGCCUAACACAUGCAAGUCGAGCGAGAGGCGGACGGGGGAGUAAAGUAUGGGGACUGCCCGAUAAAGGGGGAGAACUACAGGAAAAGGUGAGUAAUACAGCAGACUAUCGGAUGACCCAUAUGGGAUUAGCUAGGAGGUGAGGUAAUGGAGCACCUAGGCGACGAUCCCUAGCGGGUCUGAGAGGAUGAUCAGCCACACUGGGACUGAGACACGGCCCAGACUCCUACGGAGGCAGCAGUGGGGAAUAUUGCACAAUGGGCGCAAGCCUGAUGCAGCCAUGCCGCGUGUAUGAAGAAGGCCCUAGGGUUGUAAAGUACUUUCAGUCGGGAGGCGUUACCGACAGAAGAAGCACCGGCUAACUCCGUGCCAGCCGCCGCGGUAAUUC
RNAcentral lists this ribosomal RNA (403 nucleotides) under uncultured bacterium. RNAcentral describes it as "partial 16S ribosomal RNA". It matches the Rfam family "Bacterial small subunit ribosomal RNA", at positions 29 to 526 of the family's 1533-position model. The record is from RNAcentral.